GAUGAAGAACGUAGUGAAAUGCGAUAAGUAAUGUGAAUUGCAGAAUUCAGUGAAUCAUCGAAUCUUUGAACGCACCUUGCGCUCCUUGGUAUUCCGAGGAGCAUGCCUGUUUGAGUGUCAUUAAAUUCUCAACCCACCCAGCUUUGUAAAUGAGUUGGUGUGUGGCUUGGAUAGUGGGGGUUUGUGCAGGCCUUGAAUAAAGGUCAGCUCCCCUGAAAUGUAUUAGCGGAACGGUUUGCGAUCUGUCACUGGUGUGAUAAUUAUCUAUGCCA
This 272-nucleotide unclassified non-coding RNA is filed under the name soil metagenome. RNAcentral's name for it is "partial contains 5.8S ribosomal RNA and internal transcribed spacer 2". The stretch from base 1 to 120 matches the Rfam family "5.8S ribosomal RNA", at positions 35 to 154 of the family's 154-position model. The record is from RNAcentral.